RNAcentral lists this transfer RNA (68 nucleotides) under Littorina brevicula. RNAcentral's name for it is "tRNA-Phe". It matches the Rfam family "tRNA". Rfam says of the family: Transfer RNA (tRNA) molecules are approximately 80 nucleotides in length. Their secondary structure includes four short double-helical elements and three loops (D, anti-codon, and T loops). Further hydrogen bonds mediate the characteristic L-shaped molecular structure. tRNAs have two regions of fundamental functional importance: the anti-codon, which is responsible for specific mRNA codon recognition, and the 3' end, to which the tRNAs corresponding amino acid is attached (by aminoacyl-tRNA synthetases). tRNAs cope with the degeneracy of the genetic code in two manners: having more than one tRNA (with a specific anti-codon) for a particular amino acid; and 'wobble' base-pairing, i.e. permitting non-standard base-pairing at the 3rd anti-codon position. The record is from RNAcentral. Lineage: Eukaryota; Metazoa; Mollusca; Gastropoda; Littorinimorpha; Littorinidae.
ACUUGAGUAGCUUAUCAUUAGAGCAUAGCACUGAAGAUGCUAAGGAAGCGACACUACGCUCUUAAGUA